RNAcentral lists this ribosomal RNA (341 nucleotides) under Spodoptera pecten. RNAcentral's name for it is "partial 12S ribosomal RNA". The record is from RNAcentral. Lineage: Eukaryota; Metazoa; Arthropoda; Insecta; Lepidoptera; Noctuidae.
UUAAACUAGGGAUUAGAUACCCUAUUAUUAAAAUUUAAAUGUAAAAUACUAAAAUAGUAAAUAAUUAUUUAUUGAAACUUAAAUAAUUUGGCGGUAUUUUAGUUCAUUUAGAGGAAUCUGUUUAAUAAUUGAUAAUCCACGAAUAAAUUUACUUAAUUUUUUUAUUUUGUAUAUCGUUGUUAAAAAAAUAUUUUUUAAUAAUAAAUAAUAUUUAAAAAUUUAAAUUGAAAAUUAAAUCAGAUCAAGAUGCAGAUUAUAAUUAAGAAUAUAAUGGAUUACAAUAAAUUUAUUUAAAUGAAUAUUAAUUUGUAAAAUUUAAUUGAAGGUGGAUUUAAAUGUAA